This 2060-nucleotide ribosomal RNA is filed under the name candidate division CPR3 bacterium. Its description in RNAcentral is "bacterial SSU rRNA". The stretch from base 1 to 1297 matches the Rfam family "Bacterial small subunit ribosomal RNA". Lineage: Bacteria; candidate division CPR3. The record is from RNAcentral.
UUUUUGGAGAGUUUGAUCCUGGCUCAGGAUUAACGCUGGCGGCGUGCCUAACACAUGCAAGUCGUACGCCCCGCCUUUGGCGGGGAGUGGCGAACGGCUGAGUAACGCGUGGAUAAUCUACCCCUUUGCAAGAAAUAACCCUGAGAAAUCGGGGCUAAUGUCUUAUAAUAUCCAAAGGUGCAAUUCCUUUGGAUUAAAGAAGCAAUUCGCGAAGGGAAGAGUCCGCGUCCUAUCAGGUAGUUGGUGGGGUAAUGGCCUACCAAGCCAAUGACGGGUAGCUGGUCUGAGAGGAUGGUCAGCCAGAAGGGAACUGCGACACGGUCCCUACUCCUACGGGAGGCAGCAGUGAGGAAUCUUGCGCAAUGGGCGAAAGCCUGACGCAGCGACGCCGCGUGGAGGAAGAAGCCCCUCGGGGUGUAAACUCCUUUUAUCGCUGAUGAAAUCUGACAUUAAGCGAUGAAUAAGGGCCUGCUAACUACGUGCCAGCAGCAGCGGUAAUACGUAGGGCCCGAGCGUUAUCCGGAUUUACUGGGCAUAAAGAGUGCGUAGGCGCCUGCCUAAAUUUUGUUUGAAAUUCCAUGGCUUAACCAUGGAUCCGGACAAAAUAUUGGGCAGGUUGAGGCCAGAAGGGGCAGGUAGAAUUUUCGGUGUAGGGGUGAAAUCCGUUGAUAUCGAAAAGAAUACCAAUGGCGAAGGCAGCCUGCUAGUCUGGUUCUGACGUUGAGGCACGAAAGCGUGGGGAGCGAAAGGGAUUAGAUACCCCUGUAGUCCACGCCGUAAACGAUGCAGACUAGCUAUUGGGAGCAUCGACCCUCCUUGUAGCGAAGCUUAUGCGUUAAGUCUGCCGCCUGGGAAGUACGGCCGCAAGGCUAAAACUCAAAGGAAUUGACGGGGGCUCGCACAAGCGGUGGAGCAUCUGGCUUAAUUCGACAACAAGCGAAGAACCUUACCAGGCCUUGACAUCCCGCGAACCCUGCCGAAAGGUGGGGGUGCCCGCAAGGGAACGCGGAGACAGGUGCUGCAUGGUCGAACCUAAUACGACCCCUUGGUGAGUAAUCAUCAGGGAAAAACUGGCUAAUAACGGUGGAGCCCAACUGCUAACUUAUCCACAACCUGUCCGCCAUAGCCUUGCGAAGGCGGAUUGACAAUUCGGUUUUUGUUUGGUAUAACUAAGUUAGCAAGGGGUAAUACCGUGGGAAGUAUAGAAAGCAUUAUGUUGUUUAGAACCGUAAGGUCGGCCUAUAUUCUCGGAUUGUGGCUCGCCGAUGGCUACUCUUGGAGUAGUAGCAUCGGUUUAAGCUCGGCUGAUAUCCGUCUUCUUGAAAGAUUCGCAGAAUUUCUGAUGAUGCUAUUUCCAAAGAACAGGUUAAGAUUAAGAAUCUAUCAGCCUGCAAACUUUCAUAGAGAUAUUUCGAGAUAUCUGAAAUUGACAGAAAAUGUUGUGAAAUAUCCGCAUUCAAAGGUAAGACAGCCAAAUUGUCAUUUAUAUGUUAAUAGCCGUCCUUUGUUGCGGGAAUUUCGCCGCGCGGAGAAUAAAUUGCUAAAGAUGCCAAAUAAUUUGGUACCUCCUUAUUUUGCUGGAAGAUUUGAUGGAGAUGGUUCGGUAGAUCAAGACUUUAGAAGAGAUUGUAGAAUAGUCUACUCUAACCUGAGGGAAGCCGAGCAAGAUCGCCGACUGAUUAAAAAAAAUCUAUUCAUUUCGUCAACGAUUUAUUACUACAAAACCGCAAAGACAUACUGUCUUUACAUUUCUCGGAUGGAUGCGCCACAAUUUCUCAAGAAUAUUAAGCCAUAUUCAGUUGUUCUAAAUGACAAGCUUUCUCUACCCCGUAGAGACUGAGUCCUUAUGGACGAGAUCCGCCAUAGGCGGAUAAUAUGCCAGAUCCCUACUCUUAAUGAAAGAAGAGAGAAGAGGGAUAAGAUAUAGUCCGCACCAUAAGUAAUUAUGGAGUAUGUGGUCGUCAGCUCGUGUCGUGAGAUGUUGGGUUAAGUCCCGCAACGAGCGCAACCCUUGUCCUGUGUUGCGACUCCGCAAGGAGGCACUCUCAGGAGACCGCCAG